This 54-nucleotide transfer RNA is filed under the name Coleonyx brevis. RNAcentral's name for it is "partial tRNA-Cys". The record is from RNAcentral. Lineage: Eukaryota; Metazoa; Chordata; Lepidosauria; Squamata; Eublepharidae.
CCAAAGUGCAAAUUUGGAGAAGCACCCUAAAAGGUGCCGGGGCUUCUCCCGUUU